This is a long non-coding RNA of Culex quinquefasciatus (southern house mosquito), 284 nucleotides long. RefSeq lists it as uncharacterized. The transcript is spliced from 3 exons. The record is from RefSeq and is a predicted model, not a curated record. Lineage: Eukaryota; Metazoa; Arthropoda; Insecta; Diptera; Culicidae.
ACUGUCAAUAAUUGUCGCUACCAAGAAAGUGGUGGUUACCAAUACGAGCUUUAUACGAAAAGGGAAAGUAAAACACGAAAAGUACCGCGUAAACAAGCUCGGGUUCCACUGUCCAAAUUGACCGUUGGUUUUAUCCAGAUUACCCGGAUGAAUACCAAUCAGAAACAACAAACGACACUAACGACAGUUUACACUUUGACUAAAACUACACUGGACGAGAAACAAUCCUUCUUAAUUCCCUGAAGAAGACCCCAUAGAGGGUUGAAACGUUGGAUACGAGAAAA